AUGGUCCGUUCAUUUUCGUUUAACGGCACCAAGAACACGGGUGGAGAGGAUGGCCACCGUGAUAUAUCUUGUUAGGCCCAACACUGUUUCCUGCCCUUGCUCCGUUACCCGACUUGUCCGCUUCCGCUUCCGCUUCGUCCUCUCCGAGGCCUACGAUCUCGUCGGUCGCGGUGGUGUGGGCCGAGCGAACGCCAAGAGCCGCUCUGGCUUCGUCCGCCAAGUCAAUGCUUAUGUGGCGUUGUUUGAUCAAUGAACUUGUGGAUGAAUGAAUUUGUUUAUGGGGAGGUAAUUUCUGUCUUGGAACUUCAGCGUUGCCAUUUCCUCAAACUGAUGAAAGGCUAUAGAUGUAAAAAGAUAGAUGGAUUUGACCCUGUUAGGGCUUGGUGGCCUUCGGCAGAGUAAAAUGACGGCAGUAAAUAGUGUUGUUUGUUCAAAUUCUGCUUAAGGAGAUCAUAUUGGUGCUGGUUACUCAAGCUAUUUGUUAGCUAACUUUUUGUUAGCUUUAAUGCAAGCAUAAAUGAUCAAGGGUUUUUUCAGUUUUGGAAGGAUUUUGAGGAAGAACAUGUGUCGGAUGAAAUGAGCUCCAAAUCAACAAAUAGUCCUGCGAAGUAUUAAGCAUAAUAAAGAUGGUUGGUGAUGCAGGUAGUUCUAUUGGUUCAAGUGAGGGAAGUGCAUAGAGAGUUCUAGUAACUAAUCCUCUUGAAUCUUAUUGGCGCUGAUGUGAUUCUUCUUUCUUGUUUCAAUUGGUAAAAACUUUCUUAGUGGAUGUGUCAUCAUUGAAGGUUCUGUACUCGUGGCAUGGCAGUUUCUAUUAGGUCAAUCAGUCAACAAGCACGUCCAUUCAUCUAUGAUGAUAUUAUGGUUCUCCUUGUUCUUUGCAUUCUUGCUGAAGUAUUUGCAAAGAUAGUAUGCUAUUUUCGAAUUCUGCAUAUGGGCAUAAUUUCCUAGAACAACUGAUACAUCUGAGUUUUAUAUUGUCCCUGCAUAAUCUUGUGUGACAACUUGUCACUAGUUUGUAAACCCAGAAUGCCUGCAUUUGCUGUGUUUUCUUGGUUUUCUCUGUUCUCUGAUUUUCCAAAUAAUCCACAUCUUAGUUAUAACAAUGGCAGUUAAAAUUCCAUAUUUCUUUUCACUUAUUUUCUUUUGAAUGUUUCACUGCAUUUUGAAGAUUGAUGUAUGAUCACCUCUUCCAGACCCCAUCAAGUAUUCAUUAAUUACUGGAGGAUGUGUUUUGGUGCAUCAACGAGUUCUAAUUAUGACCCUCAAUCGGAACAUCAAACGCCUAAUUGAACUGUGGAAACUCCAGGGUCUAAUGGAUCAGAAAGUCAGCUUACAGUGAUUGGAAUAUGUCAAUGGCUACAGGUAUAUAUUUGUGUAGGUCUGGGCAUUUGUCUUAUGAUAAUGUUGUUGUCCUUCAAGCUCAGGCCCUUUGCCAAACAUGCCUUUAGGAUGAAAAGCAACAAAGUUUAUUGCCUGUAAGUCUCGUGUUUUAUUACUCUUAGGAAAAAAGGGUACUCCAGUGCAAAAGACUCCUGAAAUAUAGGGUAUAUUGCCUUCCAACAUCCACAAUUGCAGGACACAAUUGAGUAUGUCAACCAAAUUCUAUGAGACAUCAUUCAAACAAGUCAACCUCUUCAGCUUCCAGGAUUGUUAAUGAUAGACAUCAAUGAGUUCUCAGUUUUAUUUUUUUAUUUUUCCACUUGAAGGAGUAUCUACAGGCCCUAUAUUUUCCAGAAAUUUCUUAUCGCAUGCUGGUCCAUCAAUGUGCCUGUGUAUAUCUCUUCUGUGACAGAUAAAUCUAACAAGUUAAAAUUUGUGAAUUGUUUCUGGUGGAGGCAGAUCGUGUAUGUCUUGGAGGUCCAUUUUAAGAUUUAUACUUCCAUUAGGAUGCGAGCAUGUAUAGAGAUAACACAUGAAACUUAUCCAAGAGGAAGGGUGAUACUAGAAUGCCUGUUCCACCAAAUCUAGUCCAGGAAGUGAAAUUGAUGAUAUGGCUGUGGAUAUGAUAAUAUCACAAACUUCUAGUUUGGCUUUCCUUCCAGAUAUCUAACAUCAUAACCUACUUUUGCAUAAAUUUUAACAGAGAACUUUGAGCAUCGGAAUUUAUACUCUUGGUGCUUGUAUUGCUUGGGUGCUUUUGGCAGUCGAUUUCUUUUGACACCAUAAACAGUUAUAACAUCACAAUGGCAUGGAUUAAUGUCAGAACCAUCAAGAAAUAACCAUUUUGUGUUUGGUUCAUGUAUCCUUUAGAAUGUUUCUUUUUAAGUGUUUCCUUCUAGUGCACAAUAUCUAAACUCUUUUUCUUAAUUGACAUACUUGUUGCAUUAGUAUCUUAUAUUGAAAGGUGACAUAAGUUGAAUUAGUGUUAAAAAUCGUAUAUUUGGACAUCUCUUUGUCAAAGUUUAUUGAAAUUUGAAAUAAUAAUUUGAGACACAAUCAUGUCACAUGAGAGUUCUUGUAGUUUGAACUUUGUUUAGUUAAUACUGUUACUUUGUUAUUUGUGUGUCUUUGUGUCAGUGGCAAUUUGCAGGACAAGAUAGUUGUUUAAACAAUGAUUAUUCGCCAAGCUGCUCAUCAAGGUGUGGAUCCAGGUGUGGCUGAUUGUUUGCUUUUUUCAUUGUGUGCAUGCCAACAGGUAUGGUUUUCAUAGUCGAUGUAGUCUAUCUCCCCUGCAAACAUACUUCUGUUUGUAGAACUCUUUGCUUUAUCUGCUUUGCCCAGCAUGUAUUUUGUGUGAUUGGCUACAUUUGAAGAAUAUUUGCUGUAAAUAAUUUAGAAACACAAAUUUUAGGUAAGUUUGCCUCUGCAGUUAGCCUACUCUAUUGUUGUACUUAUGGAAUUACAAGUGCUUACCACUGAUGUCGUGUGUACUUGGCUUUUGAGAUCAAAAGUUUAUUCGUUCAUAGAUUUUAGCAUCAUUUUUGGUUUCUCUAAAUAUUUAUGGAGUCUCAAGCUUCGGCGUUCACAAAGGUUUUAGGGCACUCUUUUUUAGCUUGAAUUGGACUCAUUUUUUUACAAACCUCUUUUUCAGGUGUAGAAGUGGCAUUUGCCUUUUUUUUUUCUUUUAGACUGAUUUGUUAAAGCUAAUUGAAAACACAUCCAAUUAAGUCUAUUAAGAAUUUAAUACUCCCAUGGAUACGAUAACUUGUUCACUUGGGCUUAUAUUUGCCUGUCUACAAACUUAAUCUUGUUUUUGUUGUUGGUGAAUAUCAUUUCCUUUUGUAUUGGUGUUUAUAUUUUGUAGAAUCUGUCCUAAAAGCACACCAUAAAUAUAGGUAGGGACACAUUGCUUGCUUUUAUUUUCCUAGAAUUACACGCAAUAAUCUGUUCGGUAUUUUUUUUUAUCUGUUUGUAGCAGUUGCCCUGUCCCUAAAGUGUGCAAUAGUUUGGGAAUUGGGUGAUAGGGUUCUAGCCACAGAAAUGACUUCUCUAUUUGGGGGAUGAAACAAUGCAUAUUGAUCAUCCCCGAUCUCCCAUGUUGGCAGACACUUGGUUUGCCUUCUUUUUUUAGUUGACAUGUCCCUCUCUUGUCAAAUUGGUUAGGAAUUCGGUACCUGUGUUUUAUUGCUUUCUUGAUGUUUUCUGAUGCCUAUAUUCAUUCACGUAUUAAUGAGAAACUGGUGAUCCCUUUUAAGUCGGAACUAAAGUCGAUGUUGGUUUGCAAUCCUCACCUCUAGGUUUUUUCACUUUUAAGUUGGAACUAAGGCGAUGAUGGCUUGCAAUUCUCACCUCUAGGUUUUCAUUUUUCCCUUUUCCUUUUAUAAGAAAUAGGAUGAAACAAUAUAAGCUCGCUUUCAUGAUCCAGCCUUGCUUGAGAUAUUUAGAUGGAGUAAUUGGUACUCUUUCUUUCAUUUGAGCAUCAUUUUCUCAUGUAGGGCACAGUAAGGAAAGCAGUGUAUCUGGAAGCACAUGCUUAUAUGAUCAUUUGUUUGACACCAAGACUUGAGAGGAAUUUGAGAUUAUUGGGACCAUGAUAACAUGCCAAGUUACAGCUGUAGUGGUGCGACCCAUCACCAGUAAGCUAUUAUUUUUUCCUUGUUAGGUUAUGCUUUCUCUGCAUGCUAGCAAUGAUUAUCCAACUAUAUUUCUAGUUCAGGAGAAGAAAAAACUGAGACUGGACUUCACACACCCAUCACUGCUUUUGGUUGGCCCAGAUGUGGUUAGCAUGCAGAGGCAGAGGGGUAUCAUGACCUUACCAAAUCGCCCUAAACUCAGUCUGCUUGAUUGGAUCCUGGUCAUGCCCCAUCACUUGUUCUGCUCUCUUGGAAUCAGGCUGUCAGCCAUGCAUUGUUUAGAUAGGUAGCACAUAACCUUAGCUAGCAUGACAUUGUUUGUCAGGGCUUUACUCCCCUUCUAUCUAUUAAAAUUUUGGGCUAGUGUCUCACAACUUAAGCAUGAAAACUAAACUACACAAGUCAAACCCUCGGAAGUAUUCUAUUUAUAGAUGUAUUUUCUCACUAGAUAUGGGAUUAUUUUGGAGCAUCGAAAUCUCAUCGGGUCAAAUCAUUGAUGUUCUAAUCAGAUUCACACACAUUGCAUGUGAAUCCGCAUGGAUAGCUAGGACUUCCGAAAGUGAUGUGGGACAUCGAAUUGUCAUGGACGGUCAAGCUGUCACUGGUCAUGGUGCUUGUCUCCAUCGAACCGGAAAUUUACUGUGUUGCAUGGUAGGUCUCAAUGUGAUCCAUCCACCAGGAUCAGUUGACCUUAUACCAAAUCUGUCAUCAUGAUUCAAGUCCAAAAUCACAGAAUUAAUCUUCCAAAAAGGAUAGUCAGACAGUGCAUUUUGAGUUAGUAGCAACUCAUACAGUUCAUAGCCAACGUAGGAUUAGUUUGAGUUUCAAGCAAAGUACAGUUCGAGAAGAUCCACAUCUGGUUUCCAUCUUUACCUGCCCUAUGGACGGAGUUGUUCCCUGCGCCGCUUCCACUGCCACCACUACCAGCAGCACUUCACCACCAUUGAUAAUGGUGUAAGCACUUCUACAAAAAGUAGCUGCCUACUUUUGAUUUGAAGUGGUAAGAGGCAAAAGAUCUGCCGGAUCCAAACUUUCUACUGCAUCAAUGGAAGUAAAGCAAACUUCACCAUGGAAAUUGACCCCCUGCGACAUGGUAACAACGCCUAGAAGUUUCUUAAUCUAAACCCCAUGCUUGAGCUGAAAUAGGAAGAUGUUGCUGAGGUCUACAUAUCUGACUGCCUUGUACAUUAUAAAUCGUAGGUGGGACAUCAUAAAUCACUCUUCAAACUCCCACUUUGGUUUCCCUAGCUAUUAGAGUUGCCCACUUCUUUUAUGAUAAGAUUCUGACAGAUAUUUUCUUAGUGUCUUCCUACGUGGUAACCAUCAAAGUUUCAUCUCUGCAUCUGUAUUAAUGAAAGAGAUUUUGUCUUGGAUUUUUGGUCCAUACCUGUAUGAAUGCGUUGACAUUGUUGUAGUGGUCUGAUGAUUCAGGUCCUGAACCAGAAAAUAUAUGCAGGAGAAUCUGUAAGUCUUUCUUCAGACAUGUAUGUACUGUUGUUUGAAUAUUACGAUGGCAAUACUAUAUAUGUUUAUAUGUACGAGAAACCACAACCUUUUGACAAGACAAGGAGCAGGAAUAGUGGAAGCAACUUAUAUCAUUAUACUAGUAAGGUGGUGUUGGCUCAAGUUGUCCUGCGCUCACUGACAUUACAUGGUAACAAAGCCAUACAAAACACCUUUGACAGCACUGAAUGCCACCUAGUGAUUGCAUCACACCUUCAUUUAUAUAUGACAUUGUUCGGUGAGAGAUGGUUUUAAUAAGCAUUAGAUACUCUUAAGCAACUUGUUGAGAUCCCAUCACUGCUCAUCCUGGCUUUGCUUCUUUCUUGCCUUCCUCUUCUAUGGCUGAGGGUGGCGCUGCGUGUAGAUGUAGUCCAAAUGGGCCUCGGACAUCAUUCUCCUCUCGAGGCAUUCUUCGGUUCCACCCGCGCAUGCUUCCAUGCCCAUGAGCUGAAACGAGGAAAAAGGAGUGAGAAAGCAAAGAAAGAAACCACUCCAUCAAGGUUGUGUCCUUUGCCUCACUCACAUUCCAAGGUUCCUCUUCCUCCACCCCUCCUGCAUCCUUCAUCUUCACAUGGUCUGCGUGCCAAAGCAAGAGAGAAUGAAACGAGAAGCAACAGCUGUGUUUUGGACGGAGAGGAGGAUCAUGACGAGGAGGAGGAGCAAGACGAGAGGUGCCCGAGAGCUGUGCGAGCCGUGUCUCAUUGUUCCUGGUUUCUUGCAACCCACAAACACAGGUAGG
Molecule: long non-coding RNA, 6255 nt
Organism: Musa acuminata AAA Group (dessert banana)
Lineage: Eukaryota; Viridiplantae; Streptophyta; Magnoliopsida; Zingiberales; Musaceae
Exons: 3
Source: RefSeq, a predicted model, not a curated record